GACGAACGCUGGCGGUGUGCUUAACACAUGCAAGUCGAACGGUAAGGCCCUUUCGGGGGUACACGAGUGGCGAACGGGUGAGUAACACGUGAGUAACCUGCCCUCAUCUCUGGGAUAACAGUCGGAAACGGUUGCUAAUACUGGAUAUGAGCCUGCAAGGCAUCUUGUGGGUUGGAAAGAUUUUUUGGUUGGGGAUGGACUCGCGGCCUAUCAGCUUGUUGGUGAGGUAGUGGCUCACCGAGGCUUCGACGGGUAGCCGGCCUGAGAGGGCGACCGGCCACAUUGGGACUGAGAUACGGCCCAAACUCCUACGGGAGGCAGCAGUGGGGAAUAUUGCACAAUGGACGGAAGUCUGAUGCAGCAACGCCGCGUGCGGGAUGACGGCCUUCGGGUUGUAAACCGCUUUCAAUUGUGACGAAGCUUUUUGUGACGGUAGCAGUAGAAGAAGCACCGGCUAACUACGUG
This 465-nucleotide ribosomal RNA is filed under the name uncultured bacterium. Its description in RNAcentral is "partial 16S ribosomal RNA". It matches the Rfam family "Bacterial small subunit ribosomal RNA", at positions 28 to 507 of the family's 1533-position model. The record is from RNAcentral.